RNAcentral lists this ribosomal RNA (683 nucleotides) under Chryseobacterium yeoncheonense. RNAcentral describes it as "bacterial SSU rRNA". It matches the Rfam family "Bacterial small subunit ribosomal RNA", at positions 74 to 757 of the family's 1533-position model. The record is from RNAcentral. Lineage: Bacteria; Pseudomonadati; Bacteroidota; Flavobacteriia; Flavobacteriales; Weeksellaceae.
AGAUCUUCGGAUCUUUGAGAGCGGCGCACGGGUGCGGAACACGUGUGCAACCUACCUUUAUCAGGGGGAUAGCCUUUCGAAAGGAAGAUUAAUACCCCAUAAUAUAAUGAACGGCAUCGUUCGUUAUUGAAAACUCCGGUGGAUAGAGAUGGGCACGCGCAAGAUUAGAUAGUUGGUGAGGUAACGGCUCACCAAGUCAAUGAUCUUUAGGGGGCCUGAGAGGGUGAUCCCCCACACUGGUACUGAGACACGGACCAGACUCCUACGGGAGGCAGCAGUGAGGAAUAUUGGACAAUGGGUGAGAGCCUGAUCCAGCCAUCCCGCGUGAAGGACGACGGCCCUAUGGGUUGUAAACUUCUUUUGUAUAGGGAUAAACCUUUCCACGUGUGGAAAGCUGAAGGUACUAUACGAAUAAGCACCGGCUAACUCCGUGCCAGCAGCCGCGGUAAUACGGAGGGUGCAAGCGUUAUCCGGAUUUAUUGGGUUUAAAGGGUCCGUAGGCGGACUCGUAAGUCAGUGGUGAAAUCUCAUAGCUUAACUAUGAAACUGCCAUUGAUACUGCGGGUCUUGAGUAAGGUAGAGGUAGCUGGAAUAAGUAGUGUAGCGGUGAAAUGCAUAGAUAUUACUUAGAACACCAAUUGCGAAGGCAGGUUACCAUGUCUUAACUGACGCUGAUGGACGAA